RNAcentral lists this long non-coding RNA (1044 nucleotides) under Callithrix jacchus (white-tufted-ear marmoset). RNAcentral describes it as "lncRNA (ENSCJAG00000070054.1)". The record is from RNAcentral. Lineage: Eukaryota; Metazoa; Chordata; Mammalia; Primates; Cebidae.
UACGCUACCAAAGUGCUUCCAGGCGCACAGAGCCAGUGAGUCAUUGCAGUGAACGCCCAGGCCCAGAGAGCUGCAGGAAGUGGGUGGAGAUGGGCUGGAUUCCAGCAGGCAGAGACACCUGCACCCUGUCAAAGAGGUCCCUAGCCACCUGAGGGGAAAUCCAGUCUGCAGCCCUAUCUCAACCUGUCUUCCAGUCACCUGGCCAGUAAGACGUCAGCGAUGGUGAGAGUGAUGGCGUGUCUGGAGUGGGGCCUUGACCUGCUGUCCAGAUGGGUUUAGAGAGUCUCUGGCUGGAAGAAGGUGGCGGGCUGUCUUGCUGCUCUGAUGUGCCUGCCAGGAAAGGGAGAGCCGGGUGUGUCCGUGUGUGGCCCGAGUGACUUGGCACCAACUUGUCCCUCAGUCUGAAGACCUCACAGGCCCACUGGGGAUAUCACAUUCCUCUUCUGCUCCAGCUCUGCAUAACAAGGACCAUGCAAAUUUCUUCACUGUGAUCUCGUGACACUGAAAUCAGCUCAGCCAAGUCCGUGGAAAAGCAAUUGGUCACAUCCACCAUUUUGCUUCAUGCAGACCAACCGCCCAGUGCACCCAUCUAUUUUGGUAGAAAUUCACAUUGUUUGAUAAUUGAGAUAUAUGUUUUUUCAGGCAGAGUGUAACUGGCAUUUUAUCAGGGGCUUUUAGCUCAUCAGGAUGGUGUUUGCAGAACCUGACAGAGUGAUAAAUUUUGCUUGUUUUAAUCCUUUCCUUUUUUCCCACCAGAGGUUAAUUGUUUGACAUUCUUUGUUAAACUAACACUUUUGAUGGGUUAAGAAUCAUUAAAGCCACUUAAAUAAACAGACUGUUCAGGUAAGAACAGAAAAACUAGCAUAGCCACAAGCUAUUAACUGGCUGGGUUGGGGCCUGGCCUAUUAGGUGAUUGACAUUCACAGUGACACGGAUUCACUGGGAGAUUUUUUAAAAACCCAUUAACUGCUUAAAAGGAAGUGUUGACUUUCUCUUUCAGGUAGAGGAAGAAAAUUCCCUGAAAUUUUAUCUCACUAAAUUAUU